UUUCCCUUUUCUUGUAACUGUAGUUUCAGAGAUGAGAGAUAUCUCUGCUAGGGUUUUUUCAAUAAUGCUCAUGUUCUUCUCCCAUCUCUGCAGCUACCACUGUCGCUAUUGCUGUCUUCACUCAGCACUGCCACCACCACUUCUACUGCCGCCACACCACACUUUCCGAUCCUCUGCGUUGUUGCGUUUUGUCUCUGCUCCUGCGAACUACUCAGAGCAAAUUCUCUGCCGUCUACAAACGAGUUCUCAGAGAUGGUUCUUCUGUGGUCAUCAGAAGUAUUAAUGUGACAUGCUGCAUACCUGAGGAAAUUGAAUUCUUGAAGGGAUUGAGCCUGCUAACCUCACUGAGACAUGAAAACAUUAUAAAGAUGAGAGGUUUUUGUUACUCAAGUAGUAGAGGUGAAUGUUACCUUGUCUAUGAUUUUGUAACCGGUGAAUGUCUAUGAUUUUGUUAUCUUGAUAUGGAAGAUGGAAGUGAAAAUGUGCUUGAGUCUUCUAAUAGGGUUUCCAUCAUCAAGGGCAAUGCAAAAGGGUAGUUCUUUUUCGACACCCAAUAUUUUCUAAGAAACUCAUUGUAGAUCAGAAAAUUUGCCUCUUUCUUACAACAAGGUCUUGGAUAUCUGCACAGCAAUGAAGCAAGCAAACCUACAAUGGUUCACCAAAAUAUUUUAGUUCAAAAAGUUCUUCUUGACAAUCAGUUUAACCCAUUGAUCAUGGAUGCUGGGUUCCCCAAGCUUCUAGCAGACGACAUUGUUUACUCGGCACCGAAAGUUGGUGCUGCCAUGGGAUACCUAGCUCCUGAAUACAUUACCACUGGACGCAUCACCGAGAAGAGCGACGUUUAUGCAUUCGGUGUCAUUGUUCUUUAAGUCCUGUCUGGAAAGACAACAGUAGGGGGUUCAAUCAGAAUGGCAGUUGAGUUUUUGAGAUUUGAUGAUUUAAUGGACACAAAUCUAAAGGAAAAAUAUUCGAAACUAGAAGCAGCAAUUCUUUCAAAGAUUGCAGUGAUGUGCAUUCAUGAGCUUUCUGAGCAAAGGCCAAAUAUGGUAAAGGUGAUUCAGGAACUAAGCAAGUAUUCUUCUCAUUCUUCAUGAUCUAGAACUUUCAGUGGGUAUCAUAAAUUCCUAACACAUUUGAUUCAUUCAUGACCAUGGUUUUCUUUAGUAUAUUCACUGAAUUAUCCAUUGCUAAAUUGUUGUGAACUUCAACGGAAUCAUGCUGCUUCAUUUCUGCACACAACUGAAAUUGUUGAAGGAUGUUCCUUUAUUGGAAAUCAAAUAGCUUCCAGAUAAUGAAUUAAAUUGUUAAUAAUCUCGGUGGAAGCAAUUUAACUGUUUCCAAAAUAAGAGCAUGAAUAUACCAACGUCAGAUAGGGGCAAGAAUCUGCACUAUAAGCACACGAAGUAAUCAUAGUGGUAUAAGCCGCAAGUUCUUCGUUGACAAUUUUCAUCAAACGCCUUAUAUGCAUCAUCCAUUCUCCCAUAUUUUGUAUCAUAGAAGAUUCCUACAGAAAGUAACCGCUAAUUAUAAUAGUUUAGUAGU
This is a long non-coding RNA of Arachis stenosperma, 1542 nucleotides long. RefSeq lists it as uncharacterized. The transcript has 3 exons. The record is from RefSeq and is a predicted model, not a curated record. NCBI's taxonomy places the organism in Eukaryota, Viridiplantae, Streptophyta, Magnoliopsida, Fabales, Fabaceae.